RNAcentral lists this small RNA (118 nucleotides) under Otolemur garnettii (small-eared galago). RNAcentral's name for it is "Y RNA (ENSOGAG00000022229.1)". Lineage: Eukaryota; Metazoa; Chordata; Mammalia; Primates; Galagidae. The record is from RNAcentral.
CACUUGUCCAGUGUUAGAAGAGAGUCAGGGUAAAGUCAAUAAACACUAAUUGAUCACAACCAGUUACAGAUGCCUUUGUUCCUUCUUCACUCCCACUGCUUCACUUGACUAGCCUAAA